AACGAACGCUGGCGGCAUGCCUAACACAUGCAAGUCGAACGAGACCUUCGGGUCUAGUGGCGCACGGGUGCGUAACGCGUGGGAAUCUGCCCUUUGCUUCGGAAUAACAGUUAGAAAUGACUGCUAAUACCGGAUGAUGUCUUCGGACCAAAGAUUUAUCGGCAAAGGAUGAGCCCGCGUAGGAUUAGGUAGUUGGUGGGGUAAAGGCCUACCAAGCCGACGAUCCUUAGCUGGUCUGAGAGGAUGAUCAGCCACACUGGGACUGAGACACGGCCCAGACUCCUACGGGAGGCAGCAGUGGGGAAUAUUGGACAAUGGGCGCAAGCCUGAUCCAGCCAUGCCGCGUGAGUGAUGAAGGCCUCGGUGUAAGNUCUUCGUCACGCGACGAUGAUGACGGUAGCGUGAGAAGAAGCCCGGCU
Molecule: ribosomal RNA, 419 nt
Filed under: uncultured bacterium
Lineage: Bacteria
Description: bacterial SSU rRNA
Rfam family: Bacterial small subunit ribosomal RNA
Source: RNAcentral